RNAcentral lists this ribosomal RNA (440 nucleotides) under uncultured bacterium. Its description in RNAcentral is "partial 16S ribosomal RNA". It matches the Rfam family "Bacterial small subunit ribosomal RNA", at positions 338 to 795 of the family's 1533-position model. The record is from RNAcentral.
CCUACGGGAGGCAGCAGUGGGGGAUAUUGCACAAUGGGGGAAACCCUGAUGCAGCGACGCCGCGUGUGGGAAGACGGUCCUCUGGAUUGUAAACCACUGUCCCCAGGGACGAAGAUGACGGUACCUGGGGAGGAAGCUCCGGCUAACUACGUGCCAGCAGCCGCGGUAAUACGGAGGGAGCAAGCGUUGUCCGGAAUUACUGGGUGUAAAGGGAGCGUAGGCGGGAUGGCAAGUUGGGGGUUAAAUCUACCGGCUAAACUGGUAGUCGCAUUCAAAACUGCUAUUCUUGAGUGAAGUAGAGGCAGGCGGAAUGCGUGGUGUAGCGGUGAAAUGCGUAGAUAUUAGGAGGAACACCAGUGGCGAAGGCGGCCUGCUGGGCUUUUACUGACGCUGAGGCUCGAAAGUGUGGGGAGCAAACAGGAUUAGAUACCCCUGUAGGC